Molecule: long non-coding RNA, 210 nt
Filed under: Helianthus annuus (common sunflower)
Lineage: Eukaryota; Viridiplantae; Streptophyta; Magnoliopsida; Asterales; Asteraceae
Description: hypothetical non coding rna
Source: RNAcentral
UUUUUGCACACCACUUGUUUGAUUUUGUAUCUUUCUUCAUCUUCAUAUUUUAUUACAAAAGAUGAAUAUAGUGACACACAUGAAGAGUUUACAGUAACCGUGGGUAUGAUUUUAACGCAACCAUUAUUUCUAACAAGAUGUUUGCACUAUAAGAUAAAAGAGAAACACAAGAUAAGGGUACAAGUAUUGGUAUCUAUAAGUAGAAAAUAG